RNAcentral lists this ribosomal RNA (253 nucleotides) under uncultured bacterium. RNAcentral's name for it is "partial 16S ribosomal RNA". It matches the Rfam family "Bacterial small subunit ribosomal RNA", at positions 524 to 776 of the family's 1533-position model. The record is from RNAcentral.
UACAGAGGUCCCAAGCGUUACUGAGAAUCUCUGGGUUUAAAGGGUGCGUAGGUGGUCCGUUAAGUCAGUUGUGAAAUCCCCGGGCUCAACCCGGGAAAUGCUUCUGAUACUGGCGGACUUGAGGCCAGUAGGGGUCACUAGAACUGACGGUGGAGCGGUGAAAUGCGUAGAUAUCGUCAGGAAUGCCGGUGGUGAAGACGGGUGACUGGGCUGGUUCUGACACUGAGGCACGAAAGCGUGGGGAGCGAACGGG